This 254-nucleotide unclassified non-coding RNA is filed under the name Entyloma sp. RNAcentral describes it as "partial internal transcribed spacer region". The stretch from base 1 to 46 matches the Rfam family "Eukaryotic small subunit ribosomal RNA", at positions 1786 to 1831 of the family's 1831-position model. The record is from RNAcentral. Lineage: Eukaryota; Fungi; Basidiomycota; Exobasidiomycetes; Entylomatales; Entylomataceae.
AAGUCAUAACAAGGUAUCUGUAGGUGAACCUGCAGAUGGAUCAUUAGUGAAUAACAAGGGGUUCCCACUCUGUGGGCCCCAACCCUAUCACCAAAUCCACACACCUGUGCACCGCUAGUAAUGACCGAUGCUUUUCCAAGCAUCUUGUCAUUGCCGGCACCUUUUUACACACACACGCAAAGUAAAUGAAUGUCACUGUAACUACGCAAGUAGAAACAAAAUACAACUUUUGACAACGGAUCUCUUGGUUCUCC